UAGCUUUACUGAUAGCUGAUCUUACCUUAUAGCCUUUUAGCUAUUUUACACAGCAUUUUAUAUCAUAUAGCUAGAUAUCUAGCUACGUUUUUAAGAGAGAGCUUUUAAAUUGGCACCUCUCCCCCCUAUGGGCUAAUAAUACUUUGAGUCAGGUGGUUUGAAAGAAAGUGACUUGUCUUGAGGUACACAGUCCUGUGUGUGGUAGUUAGGGUUAGGGGCCAUCUGUUAGAUUUGUGGUCGGUCGGGGCUUAGGUUAAGGGUCAGUUCCUUACAGUUACUAAUAUAAUUUCAUGUUUUUAUUUUCAGAAGAGAACAUACAGGAAGAAGACAGACCAUGGAAGCUGUGUCUCGGGGGUGAUACAGCAUCCCCUGAAGGCAAUAGACCUUAAAGGGGCGUGCCAGGGUGUUCAACAUUCCACCAAGAACCCUAUGGCACCACAGAGGAAAGGAGGUGGAAAACCCAGGCUUCAGCCAAAUGGGUGGGGCGUCAGUCUUCUCUUUCACGUCUGAAAGUGACCUCGUCAAUCGCAUCAUGGGACGUGAGAAGACUCGCCUUUGAUCUGACAGAGAGGAUGGGAAUCACAGGUUCAUCAAAGGAAAGGGGUAUGCAUGGGUGGAUUGGUUCAGUUGCUUAAUGAAGCGCAACCCUCAACUGUCAGUUUGAGUAUCGCAAGCAACCAGUCUUGCGAGGGCCGUGGGCUUUAAUAAGCUUAAGGUUGACCAGUUUUUUUAUGGCCUACAAGGACAUUUUAAACAGCAUCAGGGACAUUGGGAAAACAAAGAUUUGGAACAUGGACAAAAGUCCAGAAACUGUUGCCUGUGGUGGCCACCAAGGGAACAAAACGUGUUGCAUGGUUGACCAGCGCAGAGUGGCUUCACAGUCACAGUAAUUUGUGCUAUCAGUGUAGCGAGGCAGUACGUACUGCCCCUCUUCAUCUUCCCUCGGAAGAGGAUGAACGAACAGCUGCUGGUUGGAGCACCUGCACGGUCUGUUGGAAGGGUGAGUGACUCAGGCUGAGUCGACAGUACCAUCUUUGUCGACUGGCUCCACAACUUCAGCCACAGUGUUGGUUGCACCCCUGAGGAACCCCACAUCCUCAUCCUCGAUGGGCACCACUCCCAUAAGACCCAGACUUCAUGGUCACUGAGGUUAUAGAGGAGCCUGAGCCCAUUGCCAGAAUCCAUUCAACCACAGUGCUCUACCGCUGCCACCGAUGCAGCUACCAGCUCUACCACCGCCACCUCUACAGCCACCAUCACUAGCUCUACCUACACCGCCACCAGCUCUAACGCCAAAACCUCUACCUCCACCACAUCUACCUCCGCCACAACCUCCACCGUGCAGCCUACCCUUGCUCCAAAUGUUGCUGCAGCAGUUCUAUUGGAGUUGUGGCCGAGGCUCCAGGAGGCGAGGCAGAGGAAGAGGAAGGCAGAGUCUGCAGCUGUACUGACAGCCUCACCUUACAAAAGGUUGCUGGAGGAAAAUGCUCGACAGAAACAUCAACAAGAAGAAAAGAGAGAGAGUAAGAAAACAAAUCAGGUUCUUCAAAGAAGGUUGGUGCAACACAACAAGCCACAUCAGCCACCAAAGAAGGGGGUGCGGAGGGUCUUUUCUGUGAGGUGCUGGUUUCAGUCACAGCGUGAAACGGUGCUGAAAUAGACGUCCGCAGUGGGAAGGCUAUGUAUUCUGUGCCCAUUCAUGGAAUCUCUCUUCAGUUACACAUCCUUGGAAUAGCAGAACAGCAUAACGGUCCGGGCGGCCCUUGCUGUGCCUGGUGAGCAGUUGGUCAAGUUGUCAGAAGAGAAAUGGAAAUGUCAGGGUGAACCGAAGACCUGACAAACCCGCCACGUAUGUUGACUCUGCCCGUCGGAGGUGGAAUUCCAGAGCUCACAGGUGUGCCUGACAUGGAUUGUGACUCCAUCUCGUUCCUCGCCCUUUUCAAUGCGUGCGUGAGUGAGUCAAUGAUUCUAGUGAUUCGUCUGACAAACAAAUAACUUUGUGUCCUGCAGGCCCAGGCAUGAAUCAAAGCUGGCGAGACAUUCAAUAACGUCAUCUUCACAGACGAAUCAACCGUGGCCCUUGAGCAAUUUGCUCAAAAUUGCUACAGAAAAAAAGGAAGAAGAUCAAGAAGAUUAACAAAAGCAUAAAGAUGUUGAUGAAGAAAUGCUGUUUUGAGUUAAAAAUGUAACACUUUAGAGUACUUAAGCAUCGAAUACAUUGCAAGUUGAGUGAUUUUCACAACAGUAGUUGGGCUAUAAAAAUAUAUUGUCCUGCUAAUAGGAAACAUUUGCAUGAUGGGAUACAUUCUAGACUCCUAUAAAGCCCUCUUGUUGUUUGUAAAGUCAAAUUAAAAUGAAGAUUAUUGUUGAAAUGAA
This is a long non-coding RNA of Oncorhynchus nerka (sockeye salmon), 2376 nucleotides long. RefSeq lists it as uncharacterized. The record is from RefSeq and is a predicted model, not a curated record. NCBI's taxonomy places the organism in Eukaryota, Metazoa, Chordata, Actinopteri, Salmoniformes, Salmonidae. The transcript has 4 exons.